AGGCUAUCAAAAUAGAAUCAUCUGAAUGAUCUUUCUUGGACAUACAUUUUGAAGUGACCCUUCGAAUUAAAAAGGUUCCUCAGCUGCUUUUGAGGAAAAACAUCAAUGUGCUUGGCCACUCUGGUUUUUAAAUGGUAUUCUGAACUAAAGCAAGGAUUGUUGAAAGUUAGUUGAAAAUAGACCGUCUCUGGUUAAAUUAGUUCUACACCAAGCCUUUAGGUGGCAGUAAAACGAAUUGGCACAAUGCGAAUUCCACACACAAGCCACAAAGAAGCCAUCAGCCGCGGUCAACAGCACCUUCCUGAUUGAACAGAACCACGCGUUGUCUGUGUGGUUUACAAGUUUCUUGGCGAUAUGGGGGGAAAGUUCCUCACAUACCAACGGAAAAUGGGCUUCAUAUACAUGCUGCUGUCUCAUAAUAUGGCGAAGACGAGUCACCUGAAGGCCUAACUCGCCAUAGAAGACUGAAAGAAUUGUCCUGCAGGAUGCUGUGUCCUGCAAUCCUGUGUGCUGUGCUACAGACGCGUGUGGAGGUCAACCCAAAAUGGGCACAGUCUCACCACAGAAGAGUGAAAGAGGAUCCUGGCAGGGAGACGGUAGUGUCCUGCAGAAUGGUGAUGGGCCAAUCUUACAAGAGACCACAGAAAACUGAUAUAGUGAACUAUAGAAACAACAGUGCCUGCUGCAGUAUAACGAGGACACCCUGAGCAGAGAGCUCCAAUAGACCCAGGUCCAGUGUCUUGGCAGGGUGAAAUGGCACUGAUAUGGUGUCCUGCAGGAUGCUGUGUCCUGCAAUCCUGUGUGCUGUGCUACAGACGCGUGUGGAGGUCAACCCAAAAUGGGCACAGUCUCACCACAGAAGAGUGAAAGAGGCUCCCAGAAGUGAGACUGAGUGCCUGUUGCAGUAUGACGAGGACGCAGUGACCAGAGACCUUCAGUAGACCCUGCUGGCAUGAUUGGCGUCUGAAGAACAUGAAAUCAACAGCAAUGUUUAUAAUGUUGUACAUACCUGUAUAGUCUGUAUUAAAAGGCAGUACCUGUA
Engraulis encrasicolus (European anchovy) is the source of this 1042-nucleotide long non-coding RNA. RefSeq lists it as uncharacterized. NCBI's taxonomy places the organism in Eukaryota, Metazoa, Chordata, Actinopteri, Clupeiformes, Engraulidae. The record is from RefSeq and is a predicted model, not a curated record. The transcript is spliced from 7 exons.